CAGCCACAAAAAAAAAGGUUCUCUCUCUCUCUCUCUCUCUCUCUCUCUCUCUCUCUCUCUCUCUCUCUCUCUCUCUCUCUCUCUCUCUCUCUCUCUCUCUCUCUCUCUCUCUCACUCACUCACUGAUCCAUCAUUGGCUUUGGGAGUUUCGAUCUCUUGGGUUUCUCCUUCUCCGAUGUCGUUCUUGACGACCACUCUCCCGCUGUAGGAAGUUCAGGUUUACUUGUUAUGUGCUUUGUCCUGCGAUAUGUCAAUAUCAUGCGGCACAAGAAAACUAGAUACACGCGCAUAUUAUUUCCAAAGUUUGAAGUUGCUUAUUUUCCAGAACUCUCGUUCCUUUAACCUUUCUCUUGGUGCUGGGUGGUUAGAAGUUGCGCGGAGGUGAUCCUCGUGUCUAUGGAACUGACAAAGAAUAUGCUUUAAGGGCAGCUGAAAGACACCUUUACUAUAUACACUCAAAUGGCUACCGAUUGUACCAAGUUCCAGAUAGGAAUUAAUGUUUAUGCAUUAAGUGAUAAGUACACUGAUAUUGCCUCCUUAGGACGUGAAUGUAUGGAUAUCACUUUUUCAUUUUAUUUCAAGGGUUUGGAGAAAAUGGGUAGUUUAGUGGUGGCUUCUUGUGUCCUUGUGUAAUGUGUGUGACCUUUAGCAGUAUUUUUCUAUUAUAUGCCUUUUGUCUUUCUGGGAGGUCAAAAUGAUGUGAUAGUUUCGUUUCAUCUUCCCUUUGACUAAAUAUGUUAAGAGUUUAUUUGUGCAACAUCAAAGAAAGCAAGCGUUGUGCUAGUUAUGCAGUGAGAAUUCUCCAAAAUUUUUUUGCUAAUGCUUGUUGAACUUCACCAAGAUCAAAACUAAACUAUUUAAUAACACUAAUUUGUCUCAUUUAUCAAUCAUGAAACUCUAGCUAGUAGAAACAUGAAUCAAUCUCUGUGCCUCACUGCCUCAAUAAAAAAACCCAGAGCCAACUAAGUAGUGAGUAAUAUAUGAAGAAAGCCCAAUGGGUUUCUUUUUGCUGCUAUUAAGAGUAUAGAAACAAGCUCCAUGUGUUCCACAACAAUUCUUGUGGGAUGGUCUUACCUGCGAGUACUCCAAUAUGUCUGCACCACCAAGAAUCAUAUCUUUGUACGUGUAAUGAUCAUUCAUAAGACCUUAAUUUUGCUAAGCUCUGCAUGUGUAUCUUAUCAUCUUACACAAAUGUGUUUAUCUUAACACCAGAGACUUGUCUAUAAGUGAAAUCACUGGAAUCAUAGUUCCUGACAUCCAAAAUCUUAUUCAGCUUCAAAAAUUGUAAGUAUGGAGUUUCUACAUGAAUAAUCUGUUUUUACUUCUUUAAUAACAGCACUCUGUAUAUGAAUUUUUGUUAAUGAUAUAGGGACUUGUCAAAUAAUAAUUUGACAGGAGGCAUACCUGAGUUUUUAGCCAAAAUGAUAUCAUUGUUAGUCAUAAACUUAAGUGGGAA
This is a long non-coding RNA of Brassica napus (rape), 1456 nucleotides long. RefSeq lists it as uncharacterized. The record is from RefSeq and is a predicted model, not a curated record. Lineage: Eukaryota; Viridiplantae; Streptophyta; Magnoliopsida; Brassicales; Brassicaceae. The transcript is spliced from 4 exons.